UCUAGACCAUGAACCUACUAUCAAUUUUAAAAAUUUUCUGGUCUUCCUAAAAGAAGUGUGGUGUUGUGGGCUGAUAGAUCAAUACCAUAGAUCAAACCUAUUGCCUGGUACACAUAACACACAUCUGGACCUGGUAACAUAAAAUCAUUCUGGUAACCUAAGAGUCUCUGUGCAGCACCUGCAGAAAGUUGUCGAACAUAGUGCCAAGAGGUGCACCAGGACGUGUCACUCCGGGGGACAACUAGGCCUCUGCGGUGGUGGCCUUGGGCAAUUUUAUUUUCAGCAGACUUGAAAAGGUAGAAAAUGGUAGCUGUGGAUCUGGUCCCAGAGUAUCCAAGGUAACACUGGCCAGGAAGACGGCUGGGGGAAAGAUGCACACAGUGUGGGAAAAGGAUUCGGGAGCCAAAAAUAGAUUUGGUUUUUCUGUUUUGUCUAAUUUCUAGGCAGAAACUUCUUUUGUGUGUGUGCCUGAGAAGAGAUGAACAUACAUUCCCUCCUACCAGGCUGAACGUUUGGCCAGAAAACACAACUCACCCGUUGGCGGCUGACAAUCCAGGCUCAUCAAAAUAAAUGUGGGGUCCCCUUCAUCUAUAGAGGCGUGUUCUUGUUAAGAGCUUGUUCGGAGUGGGAACACGGGUAGCUCUGGGAGCCCUGCUGACCAUUAUCUUCCCAUUCAGGUCUGUAUUGUGGAAGCUGCUCUCUAUUUUCUCAUGUAGAG
This 718-nucleotide long non-coding RNA is filed under the name Felis catus (domestic cat). RNAcentral's name for it is "lncRNA (ENSFCAG00000047119.1)". Lineage: Eukaryota; Metazoa; Chordata; Mammalia; Carnivora; Felidae. The record is from RNAcentral.